AUGGACGCCGACACGUCGCGCCAGGUGCGCGUGCGCUUCAUCACGAAGCUGCCGCCUCCGCUCCGCGCGCCGCCCACCGCCAUCGCGGUCCCCGCCGAGCUCUCCCGCAUGGGCCUCUCCGAGAUCGUCAACAGCCUCCUCCUCUCCGCCGAGCCGGACCACCAGGCGCAGCCCUUCGACUUCAUCGUGGAUGGCGAGCUCGUGCGGAUGCCGCUCCAUCAGUUCCUGCUCGCCAAGGGCAUCUCGGCGGAGCGGGUGCUUGAGCUCGAGUACAUAAAGGCCGUGGCGCCGAGGAAGCAGGAGCCACCAUUACCACACGAUGACUGGGUUAGCGCGGUUGAUGGGUCCAACCCAAGCUUCAUAUUAACAGGUUGCUAUGAUGGUCUUGCAAGAAUAUGGAAAGAUGCAGCUGAAUGUACUCAAGUUUUGGAGGGACACAGUGGUGCAAUUACUUCUGCCAGCUUCAUCAAUAAAGGAGUUGAAACUGAUGGCAGUUUGCAUGUUGUGACUGGCUCAAAGGAUAGGUCAUUGCGCCUGUUCAAGUUUGAUACUUCAGUCACCAUCGGCUCCUCGAAGCGAAUUGGAGCUUACAAAAUUCUUCCUGGUCAUACAUCAUCUAUUCAAAGUAUUGCUGUUGACCCUUCCAGAAAUAUGAUAUGUUCUGCUUCCUGGGAUACCACUAUUAAGCUAUGGGCAGUCGAAGGAUCUGAAGAAGAUGGCGACACCGUCUCUGUGAAAAAGAGAAGGAUGAACUCUGAUGAAUCUGGACCUGAAGAGUCUCAGUUAGAGGGUUCAGCAUCUUCAACACUUCUGGGACAUACACAAUGUGUUUCUUCUGUUGCUUGGCCUGAGCAGCGAACAAUAUAUUCGGCAUCUUGGGAUCAUUCUAUUCGGCAGUGGGAUGCUCAAACAGGGAGAGAAACAUGGAAUAUGUUUUGUGGGAAGGCCUUGAAUUGUUUGGACUGUGGUGGAGAGGGCUCUUCACUGAUUGCAGCUGGUGGUUCUGACCCUGUAUUGAGGGUAUGGGAUCCCCGCAAACCUGGAACGACAGCUCCUAUUUUUCAGUUCUCUUCACACUCAAGCUGGAUCUCCGCCUGCAAAUGGCAUCCAAGUUCCUGGUUUCAUUUGAUAUCAUCCUCGUUUGAUGGGAAAGUGAUGUUGUGGGAUCUAAGAACAGCUUGGCCUCUGGCUUCUGUGGACUCCCACAAAGAUAAGGUUUUAUGCGCCGAUUGGUGGAAAGGAGACAGCGUGAUAAGUGGUGGAGCUGAUUCCAAGCUGUGUAUCUCAUCAGGGGUUGAGAUAGCGUGA
RNAcentral lists this ribosomal RNA (1308 nucleotides) under Triticum aestivum (bread wheat). RNAcentral's name for it is "partial small subunit ribosomal RNA". The record is from RNAcentral. Lineage: Eukaryota; Viridiplantae; Streptophyta; Magnoliopsida; Poales; Poaceae.